This is a long non-coding RNA of Oreochromis niloticus (Nile tilapia), 578 nucleotides long. RefSeq lists it as uncharacterized. The transcript is spliced from 2 exons. The record is from RefSeq and is a predicted model, not a curated record. NCBI's taxonomy places the organism in Eukaryota, Metazoa, Chordata, Actinopteri, Cichliformes, Cichlidae.
GAAAAAGCAGAACUGCUCUCUCUCGGUGUACCAUCAUUCAGAACUCUGAUCAUGCAUCAGACUGUUUUGCUGUAUUGGAACGUCCUUGUUUACCGGAGCACAUCUCCUCAGACACACUGGAAGUCUUUGUUCAGACAGCAGAUUGCCUCAUCAUUCAUUGAUAAUGCUGCAAUUACUGAAAAACUUACCAUGUAGAGAGGCCAAGAUUCAGAAGAACCGGUCGUUAUCUACCGAUUUUCAGCCUCUCACAAACAGAAGGGUUGAACAGCUGGUGGUGUGGCGGUUGGUGCUCACUGGCAGGACUGCGUGCCUGAGAUGACUGAAUCAAGGAUAUUUGCUCUCACUGACAUCAUACAGAGCCAAAUGCAGAAAAAUCAAUCCGACACUCAUUUUUUAGUGUCGUCUGAAGAGUGAGAUUACUUAAAACUUUGUUCUUGUAUAAUACAAGCAUCCACCGCUGGACAGAAAAAUAAUCAAAUGUAUGGCAAAACAAACUGGCACUUACAUAGCACCUUUGUACUCAAUUCGAGUACUCAAAGGACUUUCUACUACACUGCAAUAAAAAACAAAAUGCAUUA